UGGGGUGUCGCUCAGUGGUAGAGCACUGGCCUUGUGUGCAAGGCCCUGGGUUCUAGCCCCGAGUGCCCCAA
Molecule: transfer RNA, 71 nt
Filed under: Marmota monax (woodchuck)
Lineage: Eukaryota; Metazoa; Chordata; Mammalia; Rodentia; Sciuridae
Description: tRNA.Thr
Source: RNAcentral